ACACGUAGGGGGCGAGCGUUGUUCGGAAUCAUUGGGCGUAAAGGGCGUGCAGGCGGUCCUGCAAGUCCGGCGUGAAAGACCCCGGCCCAACCGGGGGGACGCGCUGGAAACUGCGGGGCUUGAGUACAGGAGGGGAUGCCGGAAUUCCAGGUGUAGGGGUGAAAUCUGUAGAUAUCUGGAAGAACACCAAUGGCGAAGGCAGGCAUCUGGCCAUGUACUGACGCUGAGACGCGAAGGUGCGGGGAGCAAACAGGUUUAGAUACCCUGGUAGUCCGCACAGUAAACGAUGUGCACCAGGCGGCGGGGGGUCGACCCUCGGUACCGUAGCUAACGCAUUAAGUGCACCGCCUGGGGAGUAUGCUCGCAAGGGUGAAACUCAAAGGAAUUGACGGGG
This 394-nucleotide ribosomal RNA is filed under the name uncultured bacterium. Its description in RNAcentral is "partial 16S ribosomal RNA". It matches the Rfam family "Bacterial small subunit ribosomal RNA", at positions 523 to 918 of the family's 1533-position model. The record is from RNAcentral.